GCCGCCUUAGCGCGGUGGUCCCACCUGACCCCAUGCCGAACUCAGAAGUGAAACGCCGUAGCGCCGAUGGUAGUGUGGGGUCUCCCCAUGCGAGAGUAGGGAACUGCCAGGC
RNAcentral lists this ribosomal RNA (112 nucleotides) under Escherichia coli. The record is from RNAcentral. Lineage: Bacteria; Pseudomonadati; Pseudomonadota; Gammaproteobacteria; Enterobacterales; Enterobacteriaceae.